RNAcentral lists this ribosomal RNA (496 nucleotides) under uncultured bacterium. RNAcentral's name for it is "partial 16S ribosomal RNA". It matches the Rfam family "Bacterial small subunit ribosomal RNA", at positions 28 to 506 of the family's 1533-position model. The record is from RNAcentral.
GAUGAACGCUGGCGGCGUGCCUAAUACAUGCAAGUCGAGCGAACGGACGAGAAGCUUGCUUCUCUGAUGUUAGCGGCGGACGGGUGAGUAACACGUGGAUAACCUACCUAUAAGACUGGGAUAACUUCGGGAAACCGGAGCUAAUACCGGAUAAUAUUUUGAACCGCAUGGUUCAAAAGUGAAAGACGGUCUUGCUGUCACUUAUAGAUGGAUCCGCGCUGCAUUAGCUAGUUGGUAAGGUAACGGCUUACCAAGGCAACGAUGCAUAGCCGACCUGAGAGGGUGAUCGGCCACACUGGAACUGAGACACGGUCCAGACUCCUACGGGAGGCAGCAGUAGGGAAUCUUCCGCAAUGGGCGAGAGCCUGACGGAGCAACGCCGCGUGAGUGAUGAAGGUCUUCGGAUCGUAAAACUCUGUUAUUAGGGAAGAACAUAUGUGUAAGUAACUGUGCACAUCUUGACGGUACCUAAUCAGAAAGCCACGGCUAACUACGU